Chenopodium quinoa (quinoa) is the source of this 6390-nucleotide long non-coding RNA. RefSeq lists it as uncharacterized. The record is from RefSeq and is a predicted model, not a curated record. The transcript is spliced from 5 exons. NCBI's taxonomy places the organism in Eukaryota, Viridiplantae, Streptophyta, Magnoliopsida, Caryophyllales, Amaranthaceae.
GUAACCGGUUUCGGUUCCAAAUCCUAAAAUUUUGGACCCGGUACCCAGUGGGUACCCGGUUAGAUAUGAUAAAUAUAUUUAUCAGUUAGUGGCUCUACUUCCCUGCACGUUAUCCAUCUCUUCUCUGUGUGUGUUUGCAGAAAUUACCAACAAACACCUUUCCCCCGUUUUCUCUCUCCUCCUUUUCAACAUGCCAUCUUCUUCUUCUUUCUUUUACCAUGAUAAAUUUCAUUCCUUUUCUAUUAAAUUUCCCAACUAAAAAAAAGAGGGGGAAAUUAAUCCUAAAUCAAAUCAAAUUAAAACACAAAAAAAAAUUAAAAAAAAAAAAAAAAAAAAAACCGAAGUACCUAGUUUAGUGAAAUUCUUCCUUUACUCUUUCUCUCCAUACUUAAAUCUUUCAUAUUGAAUAAAGUCUAAGAUAUGGAAGAUCACAGCCCAUCUUUCGUUCAUCUCGUGCGGGUCUUUAGGUAUUUUUCCCCAUUUUCUCUGUUUUUUUUUUUUUGGGGGGGGGGAGGGGGGGAGGUUUAUCAUGCAAUUUUUGUAGAUCUAUGCUUGUAUAUUCAAAGUUCAAGGAAUUGUGCUUGUAGGGUGUUGUUCAAAUCACCGAAAUUGUGUUUCGAUUGUGUUACAUUAUAUGAUUCUUAUAAGAUUAGCCGAUGGAAUUUCUGGGUUUUUGAAUUAGAUUUUGAAAUUUUGUAUGUUUUCAGAAAUUAAUUUUGUAGUUAAAGUUGUAUUGCAAUUUAGUUUUAACUUUGGGAAAUAAUUGAAAUAAGAACUGGGUACCCGAUCUUGGAACCGGUUCCCACCAGUUCCGCCACUACGGGACCCGGUUACAACCAGUUCCAGUUCUGGUUUUAAAAUCUCGGACCCGAUUAUAACCAUUAAAACUGACCGGGUACCCAGUUUUGCUCACCCCUAGUUAUAAUGAACAAUAUAAUAUUUUAAAAUGUUUAGUUUAGAUUUUAUGUAAAGCAAAUGUCAUUAUUUAGAUACAAUUCUUCAUUAUGGUAAUAAUAUUAUUUAUUUAUUUUUUAAAAGUAAAUGCUCUUGGAGGGAAAUUUUUUAAUAUGACGUUGUCAAGUGUCACUUUUAUUCGCGUUUAGUAAUAUGUAAUAGAUGUUUUGUUUAGAUUUUAUGUAAAGCAAAUGUCAUUAUUUAGAUACAAUCCUUCGUUAUGGUAAUAAUAUAUAUAUAUAUUUUUUAAGUAAAUACUCUUGGAGGGAAAAUUUUUAAUAUGAUGUUGUCAAGUGUCGCUUUUAUUCGCCUUUAGUAAUAUGUGAUAGAUAGAUAGAUAGAUUUUGAGUUACCAAGGGGGCCUUGGUAAUUUAAUGCCUACAUUUUGUAUGAAUUGGAAAUUCACAUGAAUUUGCAAUUUCUAUAUUUUUCACUUUCUAUAGCCAACUAAACAAACUCCCUAUUUCUAAAUUUCCAUGAUUUUUCAAUUCCCCCAUUUUUUUUUCUUCUGUUUAAACAAACAAGACCUGAAUAUGAUAAAUUCAAUUUAAUAAUUACUACUAGUGUGAAUGUAUGAUUUUAUAUAUUUAUUUAUUUAUUCAUAAUUAAAAGUACUGUAACAUGAUUAUUUGAUAAACAACUGAAAAAAUGUGUUAAUUACUCUAAAAAGGAAAUAUUAUGUGGAAUACUGGCUAGCAAGUAGCAAGCCUCCCAAAGUCGUAGAUGUGUUGUACUAGGGUGAGGAUUUCUUGGUCUCUACCUAGUUGCGUCCUCUUGGACUCUACCUACCGACACUUUUGGCGGUAUUCGUUUGGUAUUGUUUUUAAUGUCGUUGGUAUACCAACAACAACCAAGACAAGCCUAGUUGGUAUUCUUCUUUGAUACCAACGAACUCCUAAUUGGUAUUUCUUUUGAUACUAACGAACCUUUAUAUAAUACUAUUUAUAUAUUAAUAUCAAUUAAUGUUCACUCGUUUUUCGAUUUAUGACUUUUAACGAUAUAGUUAUCACAACUCUAUUAUUUAUAUAUCGAAAUAAAUUAUCUUAACAGUUUAACAACCCACCAUACUUCGCAAUAAUAAUUCUUUAACUAGAGAGUUUUGACCAAUACCUAAACUUAGUCGACAAUGGAACCUCGGAGCUUCCAGCUUUACCAAGGUAGCUAACCCAACCCUGUCUUCCUUAGAUCAAGCAUAACACAGAUCUAAUUCGUUUCCUACCUUAGACCGUAAUCUCUAAUCAAACAAUUUGUACUGUGUUUAUGAUGGAACUUCUUAAACAAAAGGAUAACUCAUUUGAUAUAUAAGGUUCAAGGGAAUAACGUUCCCUUCUUAAACAAAACUUUUAUUUAAUUUGAAAACAUUACAACACUCAUACAUUACACAAACUAAUUGAAAGCAUAAACAGAUAUAAGCUGAACUAGAGCUUUCUCUACUUUAAGAGAGAUGGAGAACUAAUCUGUCUUUUAAGGUGAGUAUUUUCCUCUAGAGCCUUCACGUCUUUGCCUAAUGCCCUUUAUAUGGGGGAAGGCUCACAAAGGUCACCGACACUUUCUAUGGCUUACAGAAAACCAUGACUCAGCAAGUGAAUAUCGUUCAUUGCCUUUCUAAAGAUACCCUAAAACAAAUAAAACGUGCUACAACAGUGAAAGUAGAAUACAUUAUUGUUGGUGUAGGCUCAGGAUUCCAUUAUCUCGUCCAUUAUCAUAUCUUGCAGACCACCUUCACUGUCCUUAUUGUCUUCAUAAUGGACAUACAUUUGGUUGUCUUCUUCUAUACUGAGAUCCAUCACACAUUUGGCAACAUAGGAUUCAUCCCAUGUGACAAAGACCUCCAAUAAGUGCUCUUUUCCCUCUAAGGAUAAAUAUCUCCCAGCUUCAACUUGUUCAACAUAAUCAUACACUGAUUCACCAAUGUAAUACUCCUUCUUCAAGUAAUUUCUUAACCAUUCUGGUGCUACUAUUGUAGUAUUCCCCACAUGUAUUAUGAUCGGUGGUUCUUCCUUUAUUCUAUGAACUGGUUAAGAUACUGAGCAAUAUAGAAAAAUCCAUAAGCUCUUGCCUCCGUAGGAUCUUUUACUCGUCUCUGCUGGAUACAGAUUGGAUUUUUGACUUUGUGAUGAACAUCUUCAAACAUGAUCAGGAAAUGUGAAGAGCUAACUUUUCCUUCAACCAUUUCGAUGUUUGCCCUUUGCACUUGGACUUGUUCAACUCUUCCUUUGUAUCGUGUUGCAUCGUAAAUUCUUCUAAAUACAUACCUCUGGAAUUUUGUGAGUUUCUCAAAGAAAGUAGUAUUAUUAUCAAGAAAUGGUACAAUGCUAUGAACCAUUCCAUAAUCUCAACCUCUGUAGUGCUCCGCCACAUAUGGUGUCAUCCAUUCCAGAGAAUGUGGAUGAAUUAACACAAUACCUACUCUGGAAUUAUUGUUGAACAUUAUUCUACUCCCCCAUGAAUCAUAAACAUCAUACAACUUGUAUAACCUUGAUACAACUAAAUUGUACCAGAAUAUAAAAUCAUUAUCUUUUAUUUUGUUUAGUAUUAUAUCCUAAAUAUCAGGAAUGAGUCGCAGGAUAAUGACCAUUACUUCGUACAUUAGGAACCUUCGAACUGCUACAUGACAACUUUUAAUCAAACCAUCUCGAGAUCUAUUUUUUGAUGAAAUAAUCAUGGCCCCCAUCGAGGCCCAAAUGGAGGGUGAAACCCGCUCCAUUGCUAUAUUAGUUUCCUCAAUAAGAGUUUUUCUCUCUACCUCCAUCUUUCUAGUUGAUGGGCAGGAGGUUUUCCUGAUGUCUUGUGCUUCUUCGUCAUUGGCUAAUUUUUUGGUCAAGCUAUCUGCCAAAGAAUUCUUCGAUCCCUGUAUAUGUUCAACAGUAAAAGAGAAUUGGUUAAGCCAUAAUUGCCAACGCAGGAGUCUCCCUUGCGCUUGCAUAUUAGACAAAUUCUUUUUAACAAAACCAAGUAUGCCUUUGCAAUUUGUUCUUAUUAAGAUGUUUAGGGGCUAAGAAGAUUAAGAACUUCUCGAUCCCUCUAAUGACUGCAAGAAUUUCCUUUUGCAUUGUAGGAUAAUUUAACUCAGCUUUAUUAAAACUUCCAUUGCAGAAUCUUUCUCCUUCUUUGAUUUUUAACACAGCACUCCAGUGCGCUCAUUACUAGCAUCUGUUUCAAGGAUUAAAUCAUCUUCACUAGUAGGUAGUGUUAGUACAGACAUAACUUUACACAUAGCUUUUAAAUCUUAAACAACUUUCGAAUCACUUUCCUUCCAAUUCCAAGUUAUUUCUUUCUUGAGUUUAUGUUGUAAUGGUUUUCUUAACAAAGCAAGAUUUUCUAUGAAAUCAAAAGCAUAGGUUAAACAUCCUAGAAAUCUUUCCAAUUGUUUUCUAUCCUCAAUUUUAUAUGGGAAUUUUUCAAGCUUUUUCAGGAUAUGUUUUUGCAAGAUUAUUUGUCCUGCUUUAAUUUCCAAUCCAUGAAACUCAAUUUCUUGUCUAGCAUAAACACAUUUAUCUUUUCCAAGGAUUAUACCAUGCUCAACACUUUUUUUAGUUACAGCUUUAAGAUCAUUCUUAUGUUGUUCUAAAUCUUUUGAGAAUAUUAGAAUAUCAUCUAUGUAAACCAAACAACAAUGAUUAAGCUCGCUGAAAAUAUUAUCCAUUCUUCUUUGAAAUAUCUGUGGAGCAUUUUUUUAAUCCAAAAGGCAUUACUAACCAUUCAUAAUGCCCUUGAGGAGCACUAAAUGCAGUUAAUGGAAUGCUUUCGUCUUCCAUUUUAAUUUGCGAGUAACCACUCUUACAAUCCAUCUUAGAAAACCAUGUGGCUCUUUGUAUUCCAUUAAAUAACACAGUUUUAUUAGGAAUGUAAUAUCCAUCAAAAACAGUAUUGUCAUUUAGCUGUUUAUAAUUAAUGAUCAUUCUAGCUUUACCUCUUUUUUCUUCUGCAUGAUUCCUUACCAUGCAUGCUGGACUAUUAUGAGGACUCUUGCUAUUCCUGAUUAAUUUCUUAUUCAACAAUUCUUUUAUUUGUUCAUCAAAUUCUAAUAUAUCUUGAUAGGUAUAAACCAUCUGUCUUACUCUAAUAAUCUUAUUCGGAUUUGUUAGAGUUAUCUUAGCAAAUGCUUUAUCCUUUUCCCAAUUUUCUAAUGGAUUUGUUGAAUAUAAGUUUUCACAUAUUUUUUCUUGUUGCUUAUCUAUCCGAUCUAUUAAUGAUGAUUCACACCCUGAAAUUCUAAGUGCAACCUCUCGUUCACUAGUGGAAAAAAUGCUAUUAGCAGCGCCCUAUUAGUAAUUGACGUUAUAUACGUUAGUUACUAAAACACUAAUUGCAACUGACCAAAAUAAUGUCAGUUACAAAUACUACAUCAUUAGCAACUGGUGUAGAUAUGAGCGUUGCUAAUAAUUAGUGUGCAAAAAUUAAAAUUUAUAUUAGCAACUGGCCUAUUUAACGCCAGUUGCAAAUAUAAUGCCAUUUGUAACUGGCGUAGAAAUGCCCGCUACUAACACUAGGUGAAAUAAAAAUUGACCAAAAUAAUUGUAAUUGACCCUAAAAGUGCCCGCUACUAAAGAUUUUUUAAGCUGUAGUUUUCGCACAGCCUCACUCCAUUUUCUCUCCUCUCUCAGUCCUUUUCUUCGAUAUACCCGCCUCUCCUCCAUUUUAUCUCUCCUCUCUCCUCCAUUUUUUCGUACAGCCUCGCUCAGCUCCACUUUCGCUCUCCUCCAUUUCCCCACAACUUCACUCUCCUCCAUUUUUGCACAGCUUCGCUCCCCUCACAAGAAAACCCUAGAACUGAUUGAGUUAAUUUUGGGUGGAAUUGUACAGCCAGUUGAGGCCUAUUUCAGAGUUGAGGCUUGGCAACGUUUUUCACGCUGCCAAUAUCAUUUCCAGUGAUGGAUAUGCUAUGGCUUUCGCCCUAAAAUACAUUGUAUUGCCAGCAGUGAUUAUGAGGGAUUGUAAAUAUUUGGGACAUUGCUACUAAUCAGGUGGUAUUAAUAGUUCUAAUAAGCUGUUUGUCCCAUUAAGCUUGUUCUACAUUCUAAGGCUACUGGUUUGGUUUUACUUUGACUUUUGUCAGUAAUGCUAACUUCCCUGAUAACGGGCUUGGAGUGUGGAUUUUUCGCGUACUGAACCUUCACUGAUGGUAUCUGGUGGGGAUGACUACAAGAUACCCUAACUUGAAGAGAUCUGAUCUACAAGAGGGGUUCGGAAAGGUUAACAAGCAGACUGAUAACUCCAUCAUUGAGCAGUUUUUGGAGGAAAAUGCAUGGCUAAUUUGGUUUAUUUGAGUUGUUCGUGCUGCUGCUCUUUGCUGCUUAUAAGUGUUGUUCCCGGGCGCUUUUGUUGUUGUGUUUCUGUAGAAGCCUUGUAAUUUUUUUUAUUUGUAAUUAAUGUAUACUGCAUAAUUAACAUAAAAUUUGUCAUAAAGAGUAUAUGAUAUAAUUUGUAUAUCAA